Molecule: ribosomal RNA, 304 nt
Filed under: uncultured Hyphomicrobiales bacterium
Lineage: Bacteria; Pseudomonadati; Pseudomonadota; Alphaproteobacteria; Hyphomicrobiales
Description: bacterial SSU rRNA
Rfam family: Bacterial small subunit ribosomal RNA
Source: RNAcentral
UGGCUCAGAACGAACGCUGGCGGCAGGCCUAACACAUGCAAGUCGAGCGCCGUAGCAAUACGGAGCGGCAGACGGGAGAGUAACACGUGGGAACGUGCCCUUCAGUUCGGAACAACCCAGGGAAACUUGGGCUAAUACCGGAUACGUCCGUAAGGAGAAAGAUUUAUCGCUGAAAGAUCGGCCCGCGUCUGAUUAGCUUGUUGGUGAGGUAACGGCUCACCAAGGCGAGGAUCAGUAGCUGGUCUGAGAGGACGAUCAGCCACACUGGGACUUUUUCUCGGCCCANAGACCUACGGGAGGCAGC